AGAGUUUGAUCAUGGCUCAGGAUUGAACGCUGGCGGCAGCCUUACACAUGCAAGUUCGAGCGGCAGCGCGGGGGCAACCCUGGCGGCGAGCGGCGGACGGGUGAGUAAUACAUCGGAACGUGUCCUUUUGUGGGGGAUAACCAGUCGAAAGACUGGCUAAUACCGCAUGAGAUCUCACGAUGAAAGCGAGGGACCGCAAGGCCUCGCGCGAUUGGAGCGGCCGAUGUCGGAUUAGCUAGUUGGCGGGGUAAAAGCCCACCAAGGCUACGAUCCGUAGCUGGUUUGAGAGAACGACCAGCCACACUGGGACUGAGACACGGCCCAGACUCCUACGGGAGGCAGCAGUGGGGAAUUUUGGACAAUGGGGGCAACCCUGAUCCAGCCAUGCCGCGUGUGUGAAGAAGGCCUUCGGGUUGUAAAGCACUUUCGGCCGGAACGAAAUCGCCUUCGUUAAUAGCGAAGGUGGAUGACGGUACCGGAAGAAGAAGCACCGGCUAACUACGUGCCAGCAGCCGCGGUA
RNAcentral lists this ribosomal RNA (520 nucleotides) under uncultured Pseudomonadota bacterium. Its description in RNAcentral is "bacterial SSU rRNA". It matches the Rfam family "Bacterial small subunit ribosomal RNA", at positions 8 to 522 of the family's 1533-position model. Lineage: Bacteria; Pseudomonadati; Pseudomonadota. The record is from RNAcentral.